Molecule: ribosomal RNA, 253 nt
Filed under: uncultured bacterium
Lineage: Bacteria
Description: partial 16S ribosomal RNA
Rfam family: Bacterial small subunit ribosomal RNA
Source: RNAcentral
UACGUAGGGUGCGAGCGUUGUCCGGAAUUAUUGGGCGUAAAGAGCUUGUAGGCGGUUUGUCGCGUCUGCUGUGAAAUCUCAAGGCUCAACCUUGAGCCUGCAGUGGGUACGGGCAGACUAGAGUGUGGUAGGGGAGACUGGAAUUCCUGGUGUAGCGGUGAAAUGCGCAGAUAUCAGGAGGAACACCGAUGGCGAAGGCAGGUCUCUGGGCCACUACUGACGCUGAGAAGCGAAAGCAUGGGGAGCGAACAGG